Molecule: unclassified non-coding RNA, 250 nt
Filed under: air metagenome
Description: partial contains small subunit ribosomal RNA, internal transcribed spacer 1, and 5.8S ribosomal RNA
Rfam family: Eukaryotic small subunit ribosomal RNA (bases 1-46)
Source: RNAcentral
AAGUCGUAACAAGGUUUCCGUAGGUGAACCUGCGGAAGGAUCAUUAUCGAAUUUUGUGAGGGGUUGUAGCUGGCCCGGAAGGGCACGUGCACGCCCCGAUCAUCCUUCACACACCUGUGCACUUUUUGUAGGAUCGGUCACGGCGCGAGCCGGUGCCGUUUCUAUGUCUUUUACAAACGCUUCAGUCGAAGAAUGUCUUUUUGCUAUAAACGCAUCAAUACAACUUUCAGCAACGGAUCUCUUGGCUCUC